GUGGUAAAUGUGAUUUACUAGGUUGGAAACAGUUACAAAGUUCAGGCACAGAGGAUGGACAGUAUAACACAGUUACAAAGCUCAGGCACAGAGGAUGGACAGUAUAACACAGUUACAAAGCUCAGGCACAGAGGAUGGACAGUAUAACACAGCUACAAAGCUCAGGCACAGGAUGGACAGUAUAACACAGUUACAAAGUUCAGGCACAGGAUGGACAGUAUAACACAGUUACAAAGUUCAGGCACAGAGGAUGGACAGUAUAACACAGCUACAAAGUUCAGGCACAGAGGAUGGACAGUAUAUCAGGUAUCAAAUUAAAACUCCUCAUUCAAGGCAGGUAGCGAGGCUAGACAGUUCCACGCUCACAGUUCAACGAUAAAAACAAACUGCGAUGUUGGCUGAUGGAAUCAUUAAAAAUGGCAGUCAUGGUGAUGUGGCUAAUCAGUAACCUGAAACAAGCUGAAGCACCAGAUGUGGCAUAUGGAAAUUAGUGUUUGUCUUAGUUAAAUACGUUCCCAUUUGCUAUAGUGUUAUCUGUGACUGAAUGUAGGCUAGUGUAAAACCAUGCUAUAGUGUUAUCUGUGACUGAAUGUAGGCUAGUGUAAAACCAUGCUAUAGUGUUAUCUGUGACAAUGUAGGCUAGUGGAAAACCAUGCUAUAGUGUUAUCUGUGACUGAAUGUAGGCUAGUGGAAAACCAUGCUAUAGUGUUAUCUGUGACUGAAUGUAGGCUAGUGGAAAACCAUGCUAUAGUGUUAUCUGUGACUGAAUGUAGGCUAGUGUAAAACCAUGCUAUAGUGUUAUCUGUGACUGAAUGUAGGCUAGUGGAAAACCAUGCUAUAGUGUUAUCUGUGACUGAAUGUAGGCUAGUGGAAAACCAUGCUAUAGUGUUAUCUGUGACUGAAUGUAGGCUAGUGGAAAACCAUGCUAUAGUGUUAUCUGUGACUGAAUGUAGGCUAGUGUAAAACCAUGCUAUAGUGUUAUCUGUGACUGAAUGUAGGCUAGUGGAAAACCAUGCUAUAGUGUUAUCUGUGACUGAAUGUAGGCUAGUGGAAAACCAUGCUAUAGUGUUAUCUGUGACUGAAUGAAGGCUAGUGGAAAACCAUGAUAAGGACAUGAGUAUUUCCAGGGAGAAAGGCCAAGGACAGGAGUGUCUUCCUAAAAAAAGGUACAGGAGGGCACAACAAUGUAACAUUUAAGAUCACAUCAGUAUCAUCACAACCGAAUGAACGAACCCUUCGAUAAAAAGGCUGAUUAUUUCAUAAAAUAGGUCGACGAAAGUUUAAAAGAAACAUGUAACUGCCAGUCUCUUGUAUAGAGUACAACUGGGUAUAUGUGGUUAGUGUUCCGCAUGAAUUCUAGAUUCUAAUUCUAUGGUUCUGGAUCCCUGGGUUGAGAAUGUCAACCUGUACCAUGUGGUAGUUUGUACCAGGAAGUAUACUGCACGUGGAACACAAGCAAUAGAAGGUGACAAGACAGCAUGUAGGCCAAUCGGCUAGAACUGUAGGUUAAACAUCAAUACGUACCCUGGUUAAAACAUUCAACGGUUGGUCAAAAGUAGUGCACUAUAUAGGGAAUAGGGUGCUAUUUGGGAGACAACCUCCAAGGCACAUUCACUGCCUGCCUGUCAGAGGCUGAUAUCAUACUGGUGGAAAGUACAGUGCAUAGAUACAAUGUAGGGUUGGAGAACUACAGUAACUUUCUAAAACUUGACAGAUUUUUCCAGAAAUUCCAGUAGAAGAUUCCUGGGUUUUCUGCUUAUUCCCUCCCGAUUCCAGGAAUCUUACAACAGGAAUUUCUGGAAAACUGGGGAAUUUUCAGGAAGUUACAACCCUAAUACAAUGUCAUCAUCAUGAUCAUCAUAACAAAUAGGAUAUCACAUCAACAUCCUGAACAUACAUGUAUAAUGGCACUACUAGGCUUUAUCUUAAUACAUGGACUGUCUAGCCUGGUCCCAGAUCUGUUUGUGCGGUCUUGCCAACAUCUUUGGUCAUUGUCGUGCCUUGGCAUGCCAGAUCUGGGAUCAGGCUAGAGGUUAACAUUGGGAUAGCUGCAACACACAAAUGGACCAGCAGUAGAGAGAGAAGAGGAAGGGUCCCUCAUAGGACAUACAGCAACAACUCCUCCUCCAUACACUGACUGCUGCUGCAGAGAGAGACAGACAGAGGGGGUGGGGGGAGAGACACAGACAGAGGGGGUGGGGAGAGAGAGAGAAACAGACAAAGAGAGAGAGACAUAGACAAAGAGAGAGAGACAGAGACACAGAGAGAGAGAGAGAGAGAGAGAGAGAGAGAUGGUAAAUAAACAAAAUAAUUAUCAACCACACACAUAAUUAUUAUAAUUAGGAGCAUCUGACAUAUUGCCAAUUCACCAGCAUCUAUCUCAUCCAAAACCCAGACAGGAGACUGCAACAGGUGAGCGACUGGAGAAGAGAGGAGGAGGAGGAGACUGGAACAGGUGAGAGAGUGGAGAAGAGAGGAGGAGGAGGAGACUGGAACAAGUGAGAGAGUGGAGAAGAGAGGAGGAGGAGGAGACUGGAACAGGUGAGAGUGGAGAAGAGAGGAAGAGGAGGAGACUGGAACAGGUGAGCGACUGGAGAAGAGAGGAAGAGGAGGAGACUGGAACAGGUAAGCGACUGGAGAAGAGAGGAGGAAGAGGAGACUAGAACAGGUGAGAGAGUGGAGAAGAGAGGAGGAGGAGGAGACGAACAGGUGAGAGAGUGGAGAAGAGAGGAGGAGGAGACUGGAACAGGUGAGAGAGUGGAGAAGAGAGGAGGAGGAGGAGACUGGAACAGGUGAGAGAGUGGAGAAGAGAGGAGGAGGAGACUGGAACAGGUGAGAGAGUGGAGAAGAGAGGAGGAGGAG
This is a long non-coding RNA of Oncorhynchus tshawytscha (Chinook salmon), 2862 nucleotides long. The record is from Ensembl. Lineage: Eukaryota; Metazoa; Chordata; Actinopteri; Salmoniformes; Salmonidae.